UACGGGGGGAGCAAGCGUUGUUCGGAUUUACUGGGCGUAAAGGGCGCGUAGGCGGCCAGCACAAGUCGGUUGUGAAAUCUCGAAGCUCAACUUCGAAACUGCGUCUGAAACUGCUAGUCUAGAAUGUCGGAGGGGAUAGGGGAAUUUCACGUGUAGGGGUAAAAUCCGUAGAGAUGUGAAGGAACACCGGAGGCGAAGGCGCCUAUCUGGACGACUAUUGACGCUGAGGCUCGAAAGCGUGGGGAGCAAACAGG
Molecule: ribosomal RNA, 254 nt
Filed under: uncultured bacterium
Lineage: Bacteria
Description: partial 16S ribosomal RNA
Rfam family: Bacterial small subunit ribosomal RNA
Source: RNAcentral